CGCGCGUCCGUGGUUGAAAAUCGACGCCAGUCGCAGGCAAAACGAUCCACGUAAACCGGAAAAAUUCCGGCGAGCAUGGUGCGGCUUAGAGGUAAGUCCGGCCGGCGGAAGCGCCGAGAGGGUCAGUAGUGGGGAGGCCAUGUCCUUAGGAGCGAACGCCCCAGCCGGCGAGUGUGGGGGCAAAGACCAGGUCGGGCGCG
Molecule: non-coding RNA, 200 nt
Filed under: chicken gut metagenome
Description: raiA RNA
Rfam family: raiA RNA
Source: RNAcentral